GGUGAACGCUGGCGGCGUGCCUAACACAUGCAAGUCGAACGGAACUUUUACGGAUUGAGACUUCGGUUGAUUGAGGUUUAAGUUUAGUGGCGGACGGGUGAGUAACGCGUGAGUAACCUGCCUUUCACAGGGGGAUAACGUUUGGAAACGAACGCUAAUACCGCAUAACAUAGCGGAGCCGCAUGACUCCGCUAUCAAAGAUUUUAUCGGUGAAAGAUGGACUCGCGUCCGAUUAGGUAGUUGGCGAGGUAACGGCCCACCAAGCCGACGAUCGGUAGCCGGACUGAGAGGUUGAACGGCCACAUUGGGACUGAGACACGGCCCAG
Molecule: ribosomal RNA, 326 nt
Filed under: uncultured bacterium
Lineage: Bacteria
Description: bacterial SSU rRNA
Rfam family: Bacterial small subunit ribosomal RNA
Source: RNAcentral